Molecule: ribosomal RNA, 253 nt
Filed under: uncultured bacterium
Lineage: Bacteria
Description: partial 16S ribosomal RNA
Rfam family: Bacterial small subunit ribosomal RNA
Source: RNAcentral
UACAGAGGGUGCGAGCGUUAAUCGGAAUUACUGGGCGUGAAGCGUGCGUAGACGGUUAUUUAAGUCGGGUGUGAAAGCCCCGGGCUCAACCUGGGAAUUGCAUUCGAGACUGAAUAGCUAGGGUACGGUAGAGGGAAGCGGAAUUUCCGGUGUAGCGGUGAAAUGCGUAGAUAUCGGAAGGAACAUCAGUGGCGAAAGCGGCUUCCUGGACCAGUACCGACGUUCAGGCACGAAAGCGUGGGGAGCAAACAGG